CUGGAGGUAUCAGAAGUGCGAAUGCUGACAUAAGUAACGAUAAAGCGGGUGAAAAGCCCGCUCGCCGGAAGACCAAGGGUUCCUGUCCAACGUUAAUCGGGGCAGGGUGAGUCGACCCCUAAGGCGAGGCCGAAAGGCGUAGUCGAUGGGAAACAGGUUAAUAUUCCUGUACUUGGUGUUACUGCGAAGGGGGGACGGAGAAGGCUAUGUUGGCCGGGCGACGGUUGUCCCGGUUUAAGCGUGUAGGCUGGUUUUCCAGGCAAAUCCGGAAAAUCAAGGCUGAGGCGUGAUGACGAGGCACUACGGUGCUGAAGCAACAAAUGCCCUGCUUCCAGGAAAAGCCUCUAAGCAUCAGGUAACAUCAAAUCGUACCCCAAACCGACACAGGUGGUCAGGUAGAGAAUACCAAGGCGCUUGAGAGAACUCGGGUGAAGGAACUAGGCAAAAUGGUGCCGUAACUUCGGGAGAAGGCACGCUGAUAUGUAGGUGAAGUCCCUCGCGGAUGGAGCUGAAAUCAGUCGAAGAUACCAGCUGGCUGCAACUGUUUAUUAAAAACACAGCACUGUGCAAACACGAAAGUGGACGUAUACGGUGUGACGCCUGCCCGGUGCCGGAAGGUUAAUUGAUGGGGUUAGCGCAAGCGAAGCUCUUGAUCGAAGCCCCGGUAAACGGCGGCCGUAACUAUAACGGUCCUAAGGUAGCGAAAUUCCUUGUCGGGUAAGUUCCGACCUGCACGAAUGGCGUAAUGAUGGCCAGGCUGUCUCCACCCGAGACUCAGUGAAAUUGAACUCGCUGUGAAGAUGCAGUGUACCCGCGGCAAGACGGAAAGACCCCGUGAACCUUUACUAUAGCUUGACACUGAACAUUGAGCCUUGAUGUGUAGGAUAGGUGGGAGGCUUUGAAGUGUGGACGCCAGUCUGCAUGGAGCCGACCUUGAAAUACCACCCUUUAAUGUUUGAUGUUCUAACGUGGACCCGUAAUCCGGGUUGCGGACAGUGUCUGGUGGGUAGUUUGACUGGGGCGGUCUCCUCCUAAAGAGUAACGGAGGAGCACGAAGGUUGGCUAAUCCUGGUCGGACAUCAGGAGGUUAGUGCAAUGGCAUAAGCCAGCUUGACUGCGAGCGUGACGGCGCGAGCAGGUGCGAAAGCAGGUCAUAGUGAUCCGGUGGUUCUGAAUGGAAGGGCCAUCGCUCAACGGAUAAAAGGUACUCCGGGGAUAACAGGCUGAUACCGCCCAAGAGUUCAUAUCGACGGCGGUGUUUGGCACCUCGAUGUCGGCUCAUCACAUCCUGGGGCUGAAGUAGGUCCCAAGGGUAUGGCUGUUCGCCAUUUAAAGUGGUACGCGAGCUGGGUUUAGAACGUCGUGAGACAGUUCGGUC
Molecule: ribosomal RNA, 1378 nt
Filed under: Escherichia coli
Lineage: Bacteria; Pseudomonadati; Pseudomonadota; Gammaproteobacteria; Enterobacterales; Enterobacteriaceae
Description: partial 23S ribosomal RNA
Rfam family: Bacterial large subunit ribosomal RNA
Source: RNAcentral